Molecule: small RNA, 29 nt
Filed under: Bombyx mori (domestic silkworm)
Lineage: Eukaryota; Metazoa; Arthropoda; Insecta; Lepidoptera; Bombycidae
Description: ovarian small RNA-5413
Source: RNAcentral
GGAAACGAGUGGUCGCCCAAUCAGGAAAU